CCCUUAGAUGUUCUGGGCCGCACACGCGCUACACUGAAGGAGGCAGCGUGUACUCCUGGAUCGAAAGAUUUGGGUAACCCGCGAAUCUCCUUCGUGCUAGGGAUUGAGGUUUGCAAUUAUCCUUCAUGAACGAGGAAUUCCCAGUAAGUGCAAGUCAUAAGCUUGCGCUGACUACGUCCCUGCCCUUUGUACACACCGCCCGUCGCUACUACCGAUUGAAUGAUUUAGUGAGGACUUCGGACUGGGACCGAUGCGGCUUUCGCGCUGCGUCGGUAUUCUGGAAAGAUGUCCAAACUGUAUCAUUUAGAGGAAGUAAAAGUCGUAACA
This 327-nucleotide ribosomal RNA is filed under the name uncultured eukaryote. RNAcentral's name for it is "partial 18S ribosomal RNA". It matches the Rfam family "Eukaryotic small subunit ribosomal RNA", at positions 1470 to 1796 of the family's 1831-position model. The record is from RNAcentral.